Molecule: ribosomal RNA, 457 nt
Filed under: uncultured bacterium
Lineage: Bacteria
Description: bacterial SSU rRNA
Rfam family: Bacterial small subunit ribosomal RNA
Source: RNAcentral
GACGAACGCUGGCGGUGUGCCUCACACAUGCAAGUCGAGCGGACGAAGAUUGAAGCUUGCUUCAGUCCAAGUUAGCGGCGGACGGGUGAGUAACACGUAGGAAUCUGCCUUCAGGCGGGGGACAACGGAACGAAAGUUGCGCUAAUACCCCAUAUGCGAGUAAUCGUAAAAGGAGCAAUCCACCGGAAGAUGAGCCUGCGUCCGAUUAGCUAGUUGGUAGGGUAAAAGCCUACCAAGGCUACGAUCGGUAGUUGGUCUGAGAGGAUGAUCAGCCACAAUGGGACUGAGACACGGUCCAUACUCCUACGGGAGGCAGCAGUGGGGAAUUUUACGCAAUGGGCGAAAGCCUGACGUAGCGACACCGCGUGAGCGAAGAAGCCUUUUGGGGUGUAAAGCUCUGUCAGCUGGAACGAACACAAUGACGGUACCAGCAGAGGAAGCAUCGGCUAACUACGUG